Molecule: ribosomal RNA, 471 nt
Filed under: uncultured bacterium
Lineage: Bacteria
Description: partial 16S ribosomal RNA
Rfam family: Bacterial small subunit ribosomal RNA
Source: RNAcentral
GACGAACGCUGGCGGCGUGCUUAACACAUGCAAGUCGAACGCUGAAGCUUGGUGCUUGCACUGGGUGGAUGAGUGGCGAACGGGUGAGUAAUACGUGAGUAACCUGCCCUUGACUCUGGGAUAAGCCUGGGAAACUGGGUCUAUACUGGAUACGACAUGUCACCGCAUGGUGGUGUGUGGAAAGGGUUUUACUGGUUUUGGAUGGGCUCACGGCCUAUCAGCUUGUUGGUGGGGUAAUGGCUCACCAAGGCGACGACGGGUAGCCGGCCUGAGAGGGUGACCGGCCACACUGGGACUGAGACACGGCCCAGACUCCUACGGGAGGCAGCAGUGGGGAAUAUUGCACAAUGGGCGGAAGCCUGAUGCAGCGACGCCGCGUGAGGGAUGACGGCCUUCGGGUUGUAAACCUCUUUCAGCACGGAAGAAGCGAAAGUGACGGUACGUGCAGAAGAAGCGCCGGCUAACUACGUG